UACGGAGGGUGCAAGCGUUAUCCGGAUUCACUGGGUUUAAAGGGUGCGUAGGUGGGAAAGUAAGUCAGUGGUGAAAUCUCCGUGCUUAACACGGAAACUGCCAUUGAUACUAUUUUUUCUUGAAUUUUUCUGGAGGUCAGCGGAAUAUGUCAUGUAGCGGUGAAAAUGCUUAGAUAUGAACAUAGAACACCAAUUGCGAAGGCAGCUGACUACAGGGAUAAUUGACACUGAGGCACGAAAGCGUGGGGAUCAAACAGG
RNAcentral lists this ribosomal RNA (258 nucleotides) under uncultured bacterium. Its description in RNAcentral is "partial 16S ribosomal RNA". It matches the Rfam family "Bacterial small subunit ribosomal RNA", at positions 524 to 776 of the family's 1533-position model. The record is from RNAcentral.